This is a long non-coding RNA of Gasterosteus aculeatus aculeatus (three-spined stickleback), 751 nucleotides long. NCBI's taxonomy places the organism in Eukaryota, Metazoa, Chordata, Actinopteri, Perciformes, Gasterosteidae. The record is from Ensembl.
CCGGCGGUCAGCUGCUGUUAUUGUUCAUUGUUAAGCAGCCGCGCAGUGACGAAGGCGACGAGCACACGAGAGCAAACACGAGCACAUUAGACCCACUUGGGGCAGGAAGUGACUGCAGAGGAAACGGCAGCAGGAAGUCGAGACGGACGCCGCGUUGGCGGAGACGAGUCGCUGAACGUCGUCCACGAGGCGUCACGAGACAAACGGCCACUAGAUGUCACUCUAAGACGAGAUAAAACGCCAACGCUCGGCCUGCAUCCAUCCGCCUAUGAAACACCAGCAACUUGUACAAGACUCAUCAAAUCCCACCAGCUUACACUUUCGUUUGAAAAAACAUUAUGGUGAGGAACCACCUAGCGCUCGCAGUGAGCCAGCUCUCCUCAACAGAUUGCCAUUCAAGCUAAUUAAUGCAGGAUGGACCAAACUGCUGCAGAGAUGGCGGUGAACAUCUGUAUGGGAGAGAUCUGAUGUGCCCUAUUGCUAUUGUAUCGCCGUCCCAUAUGGAAACAAUCCUCGCCGUGUGUUGGAUAGAAGGCGGGCGCUAAAGCGAGGGAUGCAUGCCGUCCACAGACUACGUUUAUCCUAAAAAAAAUAAAUGGGAAAAGCCCCACUACACUCACACACCUUUCUGUAUUGCAUAGUAGUUAAAUACUUCUCGUGUGUAUCUAUUUACAUGUAUAUAUUUGUGUAUUUUGUCAUUGCACGUCCUUGUUUUUGUUACACAGUCAAACUCACAUGCAAAUAAAUUCUG